RNAcentral lists this signal recognition particle RNA (344 nucleotides) under Piliocolobus tephrosceles (Ugandan red Colobus). RNAcentral describes it as "Metazoan signal recognition particle RNA (ENSPTEG00000022771.1)". It matches the Rfam family "Metazoan signal recognition particle RNA". Rfam says of the family: The signal recognition particle (SRP) is a universally conserved ribonucleoprotein. It is involved in the co-translational targeting of proteins to membranes. The eukaryotic SRP consists of a 300-nucleotide 7S RNA and six proteins: SRPs 72, 68, 54, 19, 14, and 9. Lineage: Eukaryota; Metazoa; Chordata; Mammalia; Primates; Cercopithecidae. The record is from Rfam by way of RNAcentral.
GCCGGGCAUGGGACUGCAUGCCUGUAGUCCCAGCUACCUGGGAGACUAAAGCAGGAAAAUUGCUUGAGUCCAGGAGUUUGAGGCCACAGUGAACUAUGAACAUGCCACUGCACUCUAGCCUGGGCAAUAGGCAAUAGAGUGAGACCCUAUCUCAAAAAAAAAAAAAAUUCACCAUCAAUAUGUUGACCUCCCAGGAGCAGGAGACCACUAGGUUGCCUAAGGAGAGGUGAAUUGGCCCAGGUCAGAAAAAGAGCAGGCCAAAAAUCCCAUGCUGAUGUGUAGUGGGCUAACACUUGUGAAGCCACUGUGCUCUACCCUGGGCAAUAUAACAAGACCUCAUUUCU